Poecilia reticulata (guppy) is the source of this 440-nucleotide non-coding RNA. Lineage: Eukaryota; Metazoa; Chordata; Actinopteri; Cyprinodontiformes; Poeciliidae. The record is from RefSeq and is a predicted model, not a curated record.
CUGAUCAUGUGACCAAAUAGUUACGAGGAUGGUAUCAUUUAAUAAAGUUUGUGAAGAUGCCCGUCACGUCACCACGAAGAGACAAGAGAAAGGGAGAGUGUGACACAGAUGCCUCCCCCUGACAGAGAGACAGACAGGCGGACGGAGAGGUGUGGCGGAUCCCCGAGACGCUCUGCAGAGUUAAUAUUCCCUCUCUGAGCCACUGGCUACCGUGAGGAUCCAGGCUGACGUCAGGGAUAUUUCUGUCCAUCUCCUGGUCAGGGAGGGGUCAUUAACUCUAAUGCAUUAUUCACACAUGCUGCAUCAACCUAGACAGAUCUUAUCUCAGCAGGGCAAAGCAACUAUCAGCCCUGAAUAAACACUAAACCACUCCGCCUUCACACAUUUAAAUUAAUCCGUUCAGAGGGAAUUUAAAAAUAAAAGCGAUCGUUGUUCUUUCA